RNAcentral lists this ribosomal RNA (468 nucleotides) under Streptomyces sp. KB79. RNAcentral describes it as "bacterial SSU rRNA". It matches the Rfam family "Bacterial small subunit ribosomal RNA", at positions 1 to 489 of the family's 1533-position model. The record is from RNAcentral. Lineage: Bacteria; Bacillati; Actinomycetota; Actinomycetes; Kitasatosporales; Streptomycetaceae.
UAGAGUUUGAAUUCCUGCUCAGGACGAACGCUGGGCGGCGUGCUUAACACAUGCAAGUCGAACGAUGAACCGCUUUCGGGCGGGGAUUAGUGGCGAACGGGUGAGUAACACGUGGGCAAUCUGCCCUGCACUCUGGGACAAGCCCUGGAAACGGGGUCUAAUACCGGAUAUGACUGUCCAUCGCAUGGUGGAUGGUGUAAAGCUCCGGCGGUGCAGGAUGAGCCCGCGGCCUAUCAGCUUGUUGGUGAGGUAGUGGCUCACCAAGGCGACGACGGGUAGCCGGCCUGAGAGGGCGACCGGCCACACUGGGACUGAGACACGGCCCAGACUCCUACGGGAGGCAGCAGUGGGGAAUAUUGCACAAUGGGCGAAAGCCUGAUGCAGCGACGCCGCGUGAGGGAUGACGGCCUUCGGGUUGUAAACCUCUUUCAGCAGGGAAGAAGCGAAAGUGACGGACCUGCAGAAGAA